Molecule: ribosomal RNA, 250 nt
Filed under: uncultured bacterium
Lineage: Bacteria
Description: partial 16S ribosomal RNA
Rfam family: Bacterial small subunit ribosomal RNA
Source: RNAcentral
UACGGAGGGUGCAAGCGUUAUCCGGAAUCACUGGGUUUAAAGGGUGCGUAGGCUGUUCGGUAAGUCAGUUGUGAAAUUCCCCGGCUUAACCGGUGGGACUGCGAUUGAUACUGUCGGACUUGAAUCAGGUUGAGGUAGGCGGAAUGUGGCAUGUAGCGGUGAAAUGCAUAGAUAUGCCAUAGAACACCGAUUGCGAAGGCAGCUUGCUGGACCUAGAUUGACGCUGAGGCACGAAAGCGUGGGGAGCAAA